GAUGAACGCUGGCGGCGUGCUUAACACAUGCAAGUCGAACGAGAAGUGAAGACGGAAACCUUCGGGCGGAAGGCGUUAUUUCGAGUGGCGGACGGGGGAGUAACGCGUGGGUAACCCGCCUCAUACAGGGGGAUAACAGUUGGAAACGACAGAUAAUACCGCAUAAGACCACAGCACAGCAUGGUGCGGGGGUAAAAACUCCGGUGGUAUGAGAUGGACCCGCGUUCGAUUAGCCAGUUGGCGGGGUAACGGCCCACCAAAGCGACGAUCGAUAGCCGAUCUGCGAGGAUGACCGGCCACAUUGGGACUGAGACACGGCCCAAACUCCUACGGGAAGCAGCAGUGGGGAAUAGUGCACACUGGGGGAAACCCUGAUGCAGCGACGCCGCGUGAGUGAAUAAGUAUUUCGGUAUGUAAAGCUCUAUCAGCAGGGAAGAGAAUGACGGUACCUUAGUAAGAAGCCCCGGCUAACUACGUG
This 478-nucleotide ribosomal RNA is filed under the name uncultured bacterium. Its description in RNAcentral is "partial 16S ribosomal RNA". It matches the Rfam family "Bacterial small subunit ribosomal RNA", at positions 28 to 507 of the family's 1533-position model. The record is from RNAcentral.